UGAGUAACCUGCCCUUAACUCUGGGAUAAGCCUGGGAAACUGGGUCUAAUACCGGAUAUGACUCCUCAUCGCAUGGGUGGGGGGUGGAAAGCUUUAUUGUUGGUUUUGGAUGGACUCGCGGCCUAUCAGCUUGUUGGUGAGGUAAUGGCUCACCAAGGCGACGACGGGUAGCCGGCCUGAGAGGGUGACCGGCCACACUGGGACUGAGACACGGCCCAGACCUCCGUACGGGGAGCAG
RNAcentral lists this ribosomal RNA (238 nucleotides) under uncultured bacterium. RNAcentral describes it as "partial 16S ribosomal RNA". It matches the Rfam family "Bacterial small subunit ribosomal RNA", at positions 118 to 351 of the family's 1533-position model. The record is from RNAcentral.